Molecule: ribosomal RNA, 406 nt
Filed under: uncultured bacterium
Lineage: Bacteria
Description: partial 16S ribosomal RNA
Rfam family: Bacterial small subunit ribosomal RNA
Source: RNAcentral
AUUGAACGCUGGCGGCAGGCCUAACAAAUGCAAGUCGAACGAGUGGCGGACGGGUGAGUAAUGUCUGGGAAAGUGCCCGAGGGAGGGGGAUAAAUACUGGAAACGGUAGCUAAUACCGCAUACCAUCGGAUGAGCACAGAUGGGAUGAGCUAGUAGGUGGGGUAACGGCUCACUUAGGCGACGAUCCAUAGCUGGUCUGAGAGGAUGACCAGCCACACUGGAACUGAGACACGGGCCAGACUCCUACGGUAGGCAGCAGUGGUGAAUAUGGCACAAUGGGCGCAAGCCUGAUGCAGCCAUGCCGCGUGUAUGAAGAAGGUCUUCGGGUUGUAAAGUACUUUCAGCGAGGAGGCGUUACUCGCAGAAGAAGCACCGGCUAACUCCGUGCCAGCAGCCGCGGUAAUUC